GUACGGAAGGUGCAAGCGUUGGUCGGGGUCGCUGGGCGUAAAGCGCUCGUGGGUGGCUUUGUAAGUCAGGUGUGAAAGCCCACGGCUCAACCGUGGAAUUGCACUUGAUACUGCAUUGCUUGAGUUCGGGAGAGGGUAGUGGAAUUCCAGGUGUAGGAGUGAAAUCCGUAGAGAUCUGGAGGAACACCAGUGGCGAAGGCGACUACCUGGACCGAUACUGACACUGAGGAGCGAAAGCGUGGGGAGC
Molecule: ribosomal RNA, 247 nt
Filed under: uncultured bacterium
Lineage: Bacteria
Description: partial 16S ribosomal RNA
Rfam family: Bacterial small subunit ribosomal RNA
Source: RNAcentral